AAAAAAAAGAGAGAAACUCUCUGUUUUCUCUCCCUCAGGCUCCGGCUCCGGAGAUAGCCCGGCCCAGGCUUCCGGCGAGUCUCCACCGUAGAGCCACCGUAUGUUGCGGCCGGAGGUCCCAAAAUGGACCCUUUCGGUCCCUUUUUUUGAAGCCGAUCGUCCCUAGAGUAUAGAUCUAAGGCCAAAACUCGCGAAAGACGGACCAAAGAGGCAAAAAUGGGGGCUAAACCAUUCGGCUUCCCCUCCUCCGGCGGCACUGAUGCCAGUGGUGAUGGGAGCAGGUGGUGGUAGGUGCGGCGCGGAGUGGCGAUGGCAGAGACCAAAGGUCAAAGAGGGCGGCGCCUAGGGUUUCAGUCUCUGAAACCCUAGGCAGAUUUUUUUAUGAAAUUGGGCUUGGGUGUUUUGGGCUUCGGGUUUUGGGUUGUAUUUGGGUUAGUUUUAGGUUAAUUAUUGUUUUAUUUGUUGGGCCCAGGUUUGGGCAAAAUUGGGUUGUACAGUAAGCUACAAAGAGAAAGUGAUAACUCGAAAUCAUACUCAAAAUUAAAGAUUAUUCAAAAUGUAGAAUUUUCUCUUAGGUUGAAAAAUCAGAGGUAGAUCUGGAUAAAAGCUAUUAGGGAAGAAAGAAAAGAUAGAAGAAAAAGGGAAAGGGAAAGAAAAACCCACGUGAAGCCUUGGUUGUAGAUGUCGACGGAAACGGAGACGCGUUCGGCGCCGGAUUUGAGUCUGUUCAGCGAUGCCUUCUUGUGAGCGAUGAUGAAGGGGGCGUCGCCGGUGGCGGUGGCGGUGGCGGUGGCGGCUGAAACCAGGAAAAUAAUAAAGAAAGCCUUGAUGAGUGGAUUUCCGAUAAGUGUCGCCAUGAGUCUGCCGGAACUGGUUACAUUUAUGUUUUUCUCUUCAAUAAGAAAUGAAAAAAUGAAUUUAAACAGGCGACACCAGGGUUCGUUCAUAACAUUGAGCUGCCCAGAGAAUGAGAAUCAAAAUGUCUGCGGGCCGGCGUUGUUUUAUUUGCAGGGCCAAAGUCGAAAAUUAUUUUAGGGGAGGAAGUUAAAUUCUAUAUGUUUACCAUGUUUUCUUCUUCAUCAACCGAACCUCCAUGAAUGUUUGAGCUGAAGCUUUAGGCCAUGGACAAAUUGCUUGCAUGAUCAAGAUCGGGUGGAAAAUCAAGGAAAAUAAAAAUUACCAAAAUGCCCCUGAACUUUGGUAUUUCUACAAUUUAGCCAAGUAAGUUUGUAUGAACUGUAUUCUGUAUAAUCUUGAUUAAAUUGAAUGUCAAUAUCUGAUAUAUUGUGAUUAAAUCAAUAUAUAUAUAUGUUAGUAUGCAAUUUAUUGUGUUAUGAAACGACAUAAAUCUAAUUAUGUACGACGAUUACCGAGCCCCAUUUGAACCUUAGGAAUUCGUAGGAUACAAGUGACAUGUCAUUAGGAUUUACAUGAUUCGGGUGCUGGUCCUGAACGUCUUACCGAUGGUUGAGGUCCGGCAUGUGUUGCGGAUACUCCACAGCUCGUGUAAGCAACAUCGUAUAGCUACGUUUCGACCCACAGCUCGUGUGAGCAUGCCCAUUUUCACAGCUCAUGUGAGCAUUAUGAUUUGCAGCUCGUGUGAGCAUUCUGAUUUACAACUCAUGUGAGCAUAUAUGUAUAGGAAUUGACGGAUUACAAUUAUAUGAGUUAGCACACUAUGUGUGAGCUAUCUCGAGUAUCUAACAGUAUUCUAAAUGGUUCAACGGGCAUUAUUCAGAUAAGAAAUGGUAAGAGAAUGAUGUGUAUUAUGACAUGUACAUAUAUGAACAUCCUUGAUAUGAUGAUACAUGGAAAUUAUGUAAGUUGAGAUGAGUAAUAAACUUAAGUGUUACAUGUUGAAUUUAUAUGAAAUAUGUUCAAGUAUGCUAACAUGUGUUGUUGUUUGAUACUUAGGCAUGUGCCAAGCUAUUGGUUGAAUGGUUUUAUGUUUACUUAUAAGUUGCAUUGAAAUGGUAAAAGCCCAAAUGGAAAUGUGCUUGUGUUCAUGAAAGAGUGGUAAGAUUUUAAUUAUGAAAUUUCUUAUGAAAUGAUUUAUCAUGUGGUUAAUUCCCAAAAGAGCUAUGUUUAAAUGCACUAGCUUAUGGCUAUAGUUGAUUAUAUGCUUAUGUCUUCUGUGUUAUGCAUUUGAAACGGGUGUGGAAAGGUAAUGAAAUAGUAAGUUCAUAGUUGAAGUGUAAAAUGAUAAAAAAAAAGGGAAUGAUGAGUUGAAUUGAUGUUGUUAUUUAAGUUAAGGAAAGUAAAUGAAUGGAAAGUAAUGAAAUGCAAAUGAAAAUAAGAAAAUUUGAAAGAGUUUAAAGUUAUUUAAAAUCCUACUUUGCUAGGGAUGAUAUGUAUAUGUGAUGCUGUGGGUUUAGUCACUUUGUGAGUUGUUGAAUAUGAUUUCAUGAAUCUUGCGAUAUCGGUAUAGGAUUAUUCUUGAUAUGUAUAAAUUUCGUAUUUGAAAUGGAUUGAUAUGACUAAAGUUUAUAUGAGCUUACUAAGCAUUCAUUGCUUAUGUAGUUUUCUUUCUUUUACUUUUUAGAUUAUCGGAAGCUCGAUCGGGUUGGAAGCUAGUCAGAAAUCCAUCACACUAUCCAUCGUUUAUAUCAACAGAUUUUGAUGCUUUAUUCAUGGUUAUAAUGGCAUGUAUAGGUGGACUAUGUUUAAUGCUUAAUUGAUGAGUUUGGCAUGUAUAUGUCAUUUUGGUUUAUGAUUAUGGCAUGAAAUGUUGCCUUGGGUUUGAGGUACUUAAAGUACUAUUGAUGUCUUAUUGGUUGUGGUUAAUAUGGUCAAAUUGAUGCAUGUUUUGAAAUGACCAAAUUUGGUAUAUGUUAAUGUA
Long non-coding RNA from Gossypium raimondii (Peruvian cotton), 2839 nucleotides. RefSeq lists it as uncharacterized. NCBI's taxonomy places the organism in Eukaryota, Viridiplantae, Streptophyta, Magnoliopsida, Malvales, Malvaceae. The transcript is spliced from 4 exons. The record is from RefSeq and is a predicted model, not a curated record.